RNAcentral lists this non-coding RNA (48 nucleotides) under Schistosoma mansoni. Lineage: Eukaryota; Metazoa; Platyhelminthes; Trematoda; Strigeidida; Schistosomatidae. The record is from RNAcentral.
AUCCAGCUGACGAGUCCCAAAUAGGACGAAGUGGCGUGCGCCCUGGAU